CUGGCGGCGUGCUUAACACAUGCAAGUCGAACGAGAAUCUGUGGAUCGAGGAUUCGUCCAAGUGAAGCAGAGGACAGUGGCGGACGGGUGAGUAACGCGUGAGGAACCUGCCUUUCAGAGGGGGACAACAGUUGGAAACGACUGCUAAUACCGCAUGAUACAUUUGGGUGGCAUCAUCUGAAUGUCAAAGAUUUAUCGCUGAAAGAUGGCCUCGCGUCUGAUUAGCUGGUUGGUGAGGUUAAACGGGCCCACCAAGGCGACGAUCAGUAGCCGGACUGAGAGGUUGACCGGCCACAUUGGGACUGAGAUACGGCCCAGACUCCUACGGGAGGCAGCAGUGGGGAAUAUUGGGCAAUGGGCGCAAGCCUGACCCAGCAACGCCGCGUGAAGGAAGAAGGCUUUCGGGUUGUAAACUUCUUUUAAGAGGGAAGAGCAGAAGACUGUACCUCUAGAAUAAGCCACGGCUAACUACGUG
Molecule: ribosomal RNA, 475 nt
Filed under: uncultured bacterium
Lineage: Bacteria
Description: bacterial SSU rRNA
Rfam family: Bacterial small subunit ribosomal RNA
Source: RNAcentral